GGGCUGCGGCCUAUCAGCUAGUUGGUGAGGUAACGGCUCACCAAGGCAUCGACGGGUAGCUGGUCUGAGAGGACGAUCAGCCACACUGGAACUGAGACACGGUCCAGACUCCUACGGGAGGCAGCAGUAGGGAAUCUUGCGCAAUGGGCGAAAGCCUGACGCAGCAAUGCCGCGUGCGGGACGAAGGCCCUAGGGUCGUAAACCGCUUUCAGUAGGGACGAAAAUGACGGUACCUGCAGAAGAAGCUCCGGCCAAAUACGUGCCAGCAGCCGCGGUGAUACGUAGGGAGCAAGCGUUGUCCGGAAUUACUGGGGGUAAAGGGCUUGUAGGUGGUUGAGUAAGUUAGAUGUGAAAUCUCAGGGCCCAACCCUGAGCGUGCAUUUGAUAAUGCUCUGACUAGAGUCCGGUAGGGGAGUCCGGAAUUCCUGGUGUAGCGGUGAAAUGCGCAGAUAUCAGGAGGAACACCGACAGCGAAGGCAGCGACUCUGG
Molecule: ribosomal RNA, 489 nt
Filed under: uncultured bacterium
Lineage: Bacteria
Description: bacterial SSU rRNA
Rfam family: Bacterial small subunit ribosomal RNA
Source: RNAcentral